GCGCAUGUGGCGGAAUUGGCAGACGCCCCGGAUUUAGGUUCCGGUACUCGCAAGGGUGUGGAGGUUCAAGUCCUCUCAUGCGCA
This 84-nucleotide transfer RNA is filed under the name Beta vulgaris subsp. vulgaris (sugar beet). It matches the Rfam family "tRNA". From Rfam's summary of the family: Transfer RNA (tRNA) molecules are approximately 80 nucleotides in length. Their secondary structure includes four short double-helical elements and three loops (D, anti-codon, and T loops). Further hydrogen bonds mediate the characteristic L-shaped molecular structure. tRNAs have two regions of fundamental functional importance: the anti-codon, which is responsible for specific mRNA codon recognition, and the 3' end, to which the tRNAs corresponding amino acid is attached (by aminoacyl-tRNA synthetases). tRNAs cope with the degeneracy of the genetic code in two manners: having more than one tRNA (with a specific anti-codon) for a particular amino acid; and 'wobble' base-pairing, i.e. permitting non-standard base-pairing at the 3rd anti-codon position. The record is from Rfam by way of RNAcentral. Lineage: Eukaryota; Viridiplantae; Streptophyta; Magnoliopsida; Caryophyllales; Amaranthaceae.